AAAAAAAAAAAAACAGGCCUGGAGACCCAAGUUGCCUGGAACCCUGACAUGUUCCCAAAGCAGGAAGAGGACUGCAAGGAAGAGGCCAAGCCUGUGCAGGCCUGGGUACAAGGUGCGCCUCUGGGGACAGACCCUGACAGGGAAGAGAAACCACCUAAAGAUGCUCUCCCACCACCACCCCAGCCCCAGGAUUCUCCAGGAGAGCCAGGGCGCAUGGUCACCUUAGAGGUCCUCUGCGUGGUCAAGGAGGAAAAGUUUUGGAGAAGUGGAGAGCCAGGGUGCAAGGCCAUCUUGCAGGUCCUCUGCGGGGCCAAGGAGGAGCGGCUUUGAGGAGGUUGCCACCGCCCCUGCCCUUGCUCAGGAUCAACGGUGCCACUUUGAAGUAGUCCCCCCUGAAGAACAAGUUUGCUGUGGGGAGUGGAGCCGGCUCAUCUCUGUCUGCUACUUUGAGUCUGAAAACUACUGGUGGCUGAGCAAGCACAUUAAGCCAAUUCGCUCCACAGUCCUCUGCUUGGGCUGGCACCCCAACAACAUUUUGCUUGCAGCAGGGUCAUGUGACUUCAAAUGCAGCAACCUACAUAUACAUCUAUGGGGAUGUCUCAGCUCAGUUGUUUUCAUUACAGGAAGCUCAGCAACUAUAUGGAGGCAGACAUAAUCUUUGGUACAUUCAUCCCCAUUCACAUCCCACUCGAUCUACCCCAGAAUGUCCAGAACCUUUUUGACAGAGAGCCAAGUCGUCUAUGGAACACCUUUCUGUGUGUCUGGAGCCCAAGGAUGCCAGAAGGGAUCUUAUGAACUGGAUCUACACGUUUUGAGGACGACCCGGUGGGCACUGAGAACUUAUUGAGAAAACUUAUUAAGAGAACUUAUUAAGAGAGGUCUAGCUAUAGAUAGAUUUUCGGGCAUCUGUCUAUACCACAAAGAGACACUUUGAUACUAGGAGUGCAUAUAAACUGGUUAGAAUUUUUGUAAGUAAGUAUGAAAUUGAAUCAUUACAAAAGAAAAGGAUAUGAAGCUCUUACUUGUAUUCCUAGUGAACACCUUAGUGACUCUUCCAUAACCCAGUGCUUCCAUGAACCGAAACAUCAUAAGCACCUAUGUAUUCAGUACUCAUAGGAUACAAACAAGUGACAUUUUAUGCACACAUUGUACACCAAAAUAUUAGAAACAGUUAAAUUUCUGAGAGUUUGGGAGCCAUUCUGUGAUGUUCCUGAGUUGUCAAGGGCUUAUUCACACAAGAUUUACAUGUCACAGGAAAAGUGCUAGAAAAGUGCUAGAACCUCUAGGUUCCUGUAUAUGAUAAAGAUUUUCUGAGAAAAAUAUACUGACAAUACCCAUCAUUCUGUUCCUCUGGUUUAGAUGGAAAUGGAGAAACUAUCAAUAUUUGCUGGCCUUAUACUUUGCCAUUGAAGAGAUCAAUAAGGACUCAAACCUGCUUCCCAAUAUGACCUUGGGUUUCCACAUCUACAGUGCCUUUAAUUCUAACAAAAGAACCUUGGAGGGCCCUCUGAUGUGGCUGACAGGAAGGACUGAGUAUAUCCCUAACUACAAGUGCAACACUCAACACAAAGCUCUAGGAAUCCUUUCAGGAAACAAGCCAGAAUUUUCUGCUGCAAUUGCAACACUUUUGGAGCUCUACAAUGUCCCACAAGUAAGUUAGAAACAUAUUUUUAAGCACAAUCACAUCUUAGACCUGACUGAAACAAACAAACAAACAAACAGUAACAAAACAAAUACAAGAAAACAGAGAAAUGGAUUAUGUUUAUUGUAGGCAGGUUUCAAAUAGCUCUGAACGAAUUAUUUUUUAUAUGGCAAUAGUUAACAGAUAACAGAGUGUGGUAAAAAGCAUGGUCAGUAAAUUCUGGGAGUUUCUAACCAGAUCACUUAGUAGUAUCCAUGAUUCUGUCUCCAAACAAUGGAUGAUGUACUGCAGAUACUCAGUCUGCAUUUGAUCAUAAAUCAAAUUCUAUAGCAAAGAUACCCAACUACCCAAUCUAGCAUACAUACAUCUCAAAAUUCUUACAGCUGUUAAUAUCUGACAAAUGGAAAAAGAAAGUCCAGGACAUGUAACUAAAUUUGGAACAAUAUUUAAUGCUAUCACCAAUGAAAAUCUUUCAAGGAAUUAAUGAUCUCAUUCAAGAAAGUAGAUCUCAGAAUAGCACCCACAGAGACCAACCACUUAGUGGUAUCAUCACAACCGACUCUUGCCAGGCUACACUGAAGAAAUGCAUCUAUCAGCAGGUAUUACUACAAACAGAGAAAAUACUUGGUGAGCACAAGAGUCAGCAAUAAUGAAGAUUGAAAAACCCACACAGUAACUCUCAUUGUUAUCACUCAGUUAAACAGUUCAUAAAUGUAUGUUAACCCAA
This is a long non-coding RNA of Meriones unguiculatus (Mongolian gerbil), 2369 nucleotides long. RefSeq lists it as uncharacterized. The transcript is spliced from 4 exons. The record is from RefSeq and is a predicted model, not a curated record. NCBI's taxonomy places the organism in Eukaryota, Metazoa, Chordata, Mammalia, Rodentia, Muridae.